This 459-nucleotide ribosomal RNA is filed under the name uncultured bacterium. RNAcentral describes it as "partial 16S ribosomal RNA". It matches the Rfam family "Bacterial small subunit ribosomal RNA", at positions 338 to 795 of the family's 1533-position model. The record is from RNAcentral.
CCUACGGGAGGCUGCCGUGAGGAAUAUUGGUCAAUGGGCUCGAGCCUGAACCAGCCAAGUCGCGUGAGGGAAGACGGUCCUAUGGAUUGUAAACCUCUUUUGUCGGGGAGCAAAAGACGCCACGCGUGGCGUUCCGAGAGUACCCGAAGAAAAAGCAUCGGCUAACUCCGUGCCAGCAGCCGCGGUAAUACGGAGGAUGCGAGCGUUAUCCGGAUUUAUUGGGUUUUAAGGGUGCGCAGGCGGAAGAUCAAGUCAGCGGUAAAAUUGAGAGGCUCAACCUCUUCGAGCCGUUGAAACUGGUUGUCUUGAGUGAGCGAGAAGUAUGCGGAAUGCGGGGUGUAGCGGUGAAAUGCAUAGAUAUCACGCAGAACUCCGAUUGCGAAGGCAGCAUACCGGCGCUCAACUGACGCUCAUGCACGAAAGUGUGGGUAUCGAACAGGAUUAGAUACCCCAGUAGUC